AGCUACCUAGCUUAGUGGUUAGAGCACCUGUCAUGCUCACAGGAGGUCCCACGUUUGAUUCCUGGUGUGGUCA
RNAcentral lists this transfer RNA (73 nucleotides) under Sphagnurus paluster. RNAcentral's name for it is "Tephrocybe palustris tRNA". It matches the Rfam family "tRNA". From Rfam's summary of the family: Transfer RNA (tRNA) molecules are approximately 80 nucleotides in length. Their secondary structure includes four short double-helical elements and three loops (D, anti-codon, and T loops). The record is from Rfam by way of RNAcentral. Lineage: Eukaryota; Fungi; Basidiomycota; Agaricomycetes; Agaricales; Lyophyllaceae.